Molecule: ribosomal RNA, 497 nt
Filed under: uncultured bacterium
Lineage: Bacteria
Description: partial 16S ribosomal RNA
Rfam family: Bacterial small subunit ribosomal RNA
Source: RNAcentral
GAUGAACGCUGGCGGCGUGCCUAAUACAUGCAAGUCGAGCGAACAGACGAGGAGCUUGCUCCUCUGACGUUAGCGGCGGACGGGUGAGUAACACGUGGAUAACCUACCUAUAAGACUGGGAUAACUUCGGGAAACCGGAGCUAAUACCGGAUAAUAUAUUGAACCGCAUGGUUCAAUAGUGAAAGACGGUUUUGCUGUCACUUAUAGAUGGAUCCGCGCCGCAUUAGCUAGUUGGUAAGGUAACGGCUUACCAAGGCAACGAUGCGUAGGCGACCUGAGAGGGUGAUCGGCCACACUGGAACUGAGAUACGGUCCAGACUCCUACGGGAGGCAGCAGUAGGGAAUCUUCCGCAAUGGGCGAAAGCCUGACGGAGCAACGCCGCGUGAGUGAUGAAGGUCUUCGGAUCGUAAAACUCUGUUAUUAGGGAAGAACAAAUGUGUAAGUAACUAUGCACGUCUUGACGGUACCUAAUCUGAAAGCCACGGCUAACUACGUG